AAUGGAAAAUCUGCUGCAGAAAACGCUCUCGGCCGGAAAUCGCCUUGAUUUUUGGUCCGGCCAUAUCUUCCUCCUCCGGCCACCGAUCCUCACCAAACUUCUUCCAUUGGCUUCGUAUGGUCCUUGCGCACCUGUCUGUGGCAGCCUUUCAUGGCGGCGCGGCCUGUAGCGGCGGCGGAAAGCUUGUUUCGAUUUAAGCCCGAUUUUGAGUCAACGCCGAUAUCUUGAGUUUCCGGCCACCUUUCUUUGUGAUUCUUGGCUUGAUGAACUCGCCUUGAGAUUCUGAACCAGUCUCCAGAAGGAAUCGAAGCGAGUGGUGGACGUUUUCACGCUGAUCGGAGCUCUCGCCGGAUUCUGGAAAAAUUCCGGCCACCGUGACUGAGUUUGGUGAUCGAUGGAUUUAUUUGGCGGACGAUUCGUGAGAUUGUUAAUUGAGCUGUUAAGAAGACGCAGCUGGAUCAGAGCGGAUAAUCCUACAGGACUGGAGAAUUCAGGAAGGUGAUCGAACCGUGUAGAGUAGCUGCUUUGUAAUACUCUGAUUUUCAGUUGUGAGGUUUGUUAUGCUCAUUAGAGCUUUACAAUUUACUUUGUACGAGUGAGUUGUAAUAAUUAACUCGAGGUCUUCGAGUUUUGAAUUUGAGCGUGAGUGGCGAGGUUGUU
Long non-coding RNA from Rosa rugosa (rugosa rose), 660 nucleotides. RefSeq lists it as uncharacterized. NCBI's taxonomy places the organism in Eukaryota, Viridiplantae, Streptophyta, Magnoliopsida, Rosales, Rosaceae. The transcript has 3 exons. The record is from RefSeq and is a predicted model, not a curated record.